CUGCUAUACAUGCAGUCGAGCGGACUUAGAAGAGAAGCUUGCUUCCUCUGAUGGUUAGCGGCGGACGGGUGAGUAACACGUAGGCAACCUGCCCUCAAGUUUGGGACAACUACCGGAAACGGUAGCUAAUACCGAAUAGUUGUUUUCUUCUCCUGAAGAGAACUGGAAAGACGGAGCAAUCUGUCACUUGGGGAUGGGCCUGCGGCGCAUUAGCUAGUUGGUGGGGUAACGGCUCACCAAGGCGACGAUGCGUAGCCGACCUGAGAGGGUGAUCGGCCACACUGGGACUGAGACACGGCCCAGACUCCUACGGGAGGCAGCAGUAGGGAAUCUUCCGCAAUGGGCGAAAGCCUGACGGAGCAAUGCCGCGUGAGUGAUGAAGGUUUUCGGAUCGUAAAGCUCUGUUGCCAGGGAAGAACGCUUGGGAGAGUAACUGCUCUCAAGGUGACGGUACCUGAGAAGAAAGCCCCGGCUAACUACGUGCCAGCAGCCGCGGUAAUACGUAGGGGGCA
RNAcentral lists this ribosomal RNA (512 nucleotides) under Paenibacillus tundrae. RNAcentral describes it as "bacterial SSU rRNA". It matches the Rfam family "Bacterial small subunit ribosomal RNA", at positions 44 to 536 of the family's 1533-position model. The record is from RNAcentral. Lineage: Bacteria; Bacillati; Bacillota; Bacilli; Caryophanales; Paenibacillaceae.